Molecule: ribosomal RNA, 254 nt
Filed under: uncultured bacterium
Lineage: Bacteria
Description: partial 16S ribosomal RNA
Rfam family: Bacterial small subunit ribosomal RNA
Source: RNAcentral
UACAGAGGGUGCGAGCGUUGUCCGGAAUCACUGGGCGUAAAGGGCGCGUAGGCGGCCUGGUAAGUAGGGGGUGAAAUCUCAUGGCUCAACUGUGAGGCUGCCUUCUAGACUGCCGGGCUUGAGCAUGGUAGAGGCUGGUGGAAUUCCCGGUGUAGCGGGGGAAUGCGUAGAGAUCGGGAAGAACAUCUGUGGCGAAGGCGGCCAGCUGGGCCAUCUGCUGACGCUGAGGGGCGAAAGCGUGGGGAGCAAACAGG